RNAcentral lists this ribosomal RNA (254 nucleotides) under uncultured bacterium. Its description in RNAcentral is "partial 16S ribosomal RNA". It matches the Rfam family "Bacterial small subunit ribosomal RNA", at positions 524 to 776 of the family's 1533-position model. The record is from RNAcentral.
UACGGGGGGAGCAAGCGUUGUUCGGAUUUACUGGGCGUUAAGGGCGCGUAGGCGGUCGUGACAAGUCACUUGUGAAAUCUCCGGGCUUAACUCGGAACGGUCAAGUGAUACUGUCGGACUAGAGUACAGAAGGGGCAACUGGAAUUCUCGGUGUAGCGGUGAAAUGCGUAGAUAUCGAGAGGAACACCUGCGGCGAAGGCGGGUUGCUGGGCUGACACUGACGCUGAGGCGCGAAAGCUAGGGGAGCGAACGGG